Molecule: non-coding RNA, 1240 nt
Organism: Bursaphelenchus xylophilus (pine wood nematode)
Lineage: Eukaryota; Metazoa; Nematoda; Chromadorea; Rhabditida; Aphelenchoididae
Source: Rfam
UCUCUGAAUUUCUGCCCAGUGCUCUGAAUGUUAAUUUAAGGAAAUUUGAGUAAGCGCGGGUAAACGGCGGGAGUAACUAUGACUCUCUUAAGGUAGCCAAAUGCCUCGUCAUUUAAUUAGUGACGCGUAUGAAUGGAUUAACGAGAUUCCCACUGUCCCUAACUACUAUCUAGCGAAACCACAGCCAAGGGAACGGGCUUGGCAAAGACAGCGGGGAAAGAAGACCCUGUUGAGCUUGACUCUAGUCUGACUUUGUGAAGAAUCAUGCAUGGUGUAGUAUAAGUGGGAGUGUUUCGGCACGUCAGUGAAAUACCACUACUUUCAUCGUUUCCUUACUUAUUCGGUAAUACGGGGAACGUUUUCUCUGAAAACUUGUGAUUGAUUUUAAGCCGGCGUACUUGGUGCGCCGGCGACCCGCGCCGAUGACAUUGUCAGGCGGGGAGUUUGACUGGGGCGGUACAUCUAUCAAACAGUAACGUAGGUGUCCUAAGGUAAGCUCAGUAAGGACGGAAACCUUACGUAGAGUAAAAGGACAAAAGCUUACUUGAUCUUGAUUUUCAGUACGAAUACAGACCGCGAAAGCGUGGCCUAUCGAUCCUUUCGAUUUGUAAAGUUUACAGCAAGAGGUGUCAGAAAAGUUACCACAGGGAUAACUGGCUUGUGGCAGCCAAGCGUCCAUAGCGACGUUGCUUUUUGAUCCUUCGAUGUCGGCUCUUCCUAUCAUUGCGUAGCAGAAUGCGCAAAGCGUUGGAUUGUUCACCCACUAAUAGGGAACGUGAGCUGGGUUUAGACCGUCGUGAGACAGGUUAGUUUUAUCCUACUGUCAAAGAGUUGUUGCAAUAGUAAUCUUGCUUAGUACGAGAGGAACAGCAGGUUCAGACAAUUGGUUUAUGGGCUCGUCCGAUAGGACGAUGGUCCGAAGCUACCAUCUGCGGGAUUAUAACUGAAUGCCUCUAAGUUAGAAGCCCGUCUAGUUAGGUAAACAAUGUUUUGUACCCCGGCUUCGUGUGGUACGUUUAUGCCUCGGCGCUCGCCGCCGUUGCAGCCUUUACCCUAUAUUUGACCUUGCAGGUCGGUUUAAUUACUGGCUUGUUGUCGAAUCCAUACGACUUUGUGUGGUUGAUUGUCAGGGUGUAAGAUCGCUUGUAGACGACUUGACUACUGGUCAGGGGGUUGUACGCAGCAGAGCAGUUAUUACACUGCGAUCUGUUGAGACUAUCCUUUGAUCGGAUGUAUCUGU